Molecule: long non-coding RNA, 10082 nt
Organism: Neofelis nebulosa (Clouded leopard)
Lineage: Eukaryota; Metazoa; Chordata; Mammalia; Carnivora; Felidae
Exons: 2
Source: RefSeq, a predicted model, not a curated record
CAGAGUUUUUAAAUGACGAUCCCCAAGCCUUUGCAUCUAUAGGAAUUAUUGCCCGUCAUUUCAGCAGUUUUGUCACUAGGAUUUAAUUAUUUCAUCAAAUUCUCUGCUGCCGCCAGACUUGGAACAUGCUAAAAAGCAUAACUUCUCUCUUACUUAUCAUUAUUCCCCCCAGACCCUGGCACUUACUGGGGUACUCAGUAUAUGCUUGUUGAGUGGAGGAGUGAGCAGAUAACUAACUGAAAGUAUGUACGUCAACAAAACAAAGAAUGGCACCCUGGGCCAACUGUUGAGAGACCAGACAGCAUCAGGGUUGGAGUGAGGAUAUCAGAGCCCAGCUUUCUUGGUUCACCUACCAGCUCCAUCUCCUGCAUCAAGGAACUUGACAAUGACAUUUCCUAUUUUAUAAUGUUUAUGUGAGCAUUAAAUGAGUCCAUGCCUGUCCAUCUUAAUUGUGCUUUACAAAGUUAAAUUCAAGUCCCCAAAGAUUAUGUAAUUAGCGCAUUAAUAUUUAAAAUUUUUGAUUAAUACAAGAAAUCGGAGUGAGUAUAAUUUGACAUUGACUGAAUAAGAGGAAGCAAAAUAUUUUUAAAUGUGGCUUAUUACUAUGCAUUUGAUAGUCCUGGAAAUUCAAACUAAAUUUACAUUUUAGCUUUAGCAUGAAAUAUUUAAGUGUGCAUUAUUCAAGAUAGUAUGAAGUUUUAAAACAUUUAAACUUUAUGAGAUGAUAGAAUUAACCUUUUCUUCCAAAUUUUAUUUUCUUCCAUUGUUAGAUGAGCAUUCAGUCAGAAAAAUAAUUUAUUAGUGAUUAUCACAGAGGUUGUGGUCCUGCUAGGUGAGCUGUGUUAUUAGAUAUAGGCCAAAAUUUAGACUGUUAUACUGAAAAUGAGUAUUCCCCUAUUGUUCCAUUAAAGACUGUGUAUUUCAAAACCAAUUUAACAUGAAAAUUACCCCACUAGGGGUGCCUGGGUAGCUCAGUCAGUUAAGCCUCUGACUCUUGAUUUCAGCUCAGGUUGUGAUGGCAUGGUUUGCGAGAUUAAGCCCCGCCUGGGACUCUGUGCUCACAGCCUGGAGCUUGCUUGGGAUUCUCUCUCCCUCCCUCUCUGCCCCUCCCCACCCUCUCUCUCAAAAUAAACAAACAUUAAAAAAGAAAAUUAUCCACCAAAUGUGACUUCUUUUCCAAGAAUUCUUUAAUCCCUUUCUGGUCGGGUCCAGUAUUCACAUACACUUCAUUAAAGGCACAGAGGGAAGAAACCUCACAAGGCGUCAUGUAUUUUUGCCGUGUGUUGGCUUGAGCCAUUCCAGAGCAUGAGGGAGUCACCAUGGAGGUUGUCCCUUUAGCCUAACACUUGUCAAAGUGAAUUGAUUAACAGCAAUGAUAGGACUAGCCAUGAUGGUUAUGCAGCUCACCAAAGCUCAAAGAGCAGAGCCUGCCUGGGUCUCAUUUGUUUUUUCCCCUAAGUAUACACAGAACUGCUUUGGGGCCUCAAUUUCAUAUCACGUUGUUUCUCAUGGGAAGAAGCAAGAAUUCCAGAAUGGUAUGAAGUGGAAAGGCUCUGCUUCCGUUUGUUAUGCACCUUGUAAUCUGGUGGGGCAGAACGGCAUGGGUUGAUCACCAUGAGGCAAGCACCUGUUUUCACAGUUUGAUGGAACCUUCUUUCUGAUUCAUUAAAACGUGUGCUAAGAAAGACAACAGUCUCCGAGAAUUAUGUUUUAUUAUGCACAGAUACAAUUUUUAUAGUCUCAUACUAAAACAGAUAUUCCAGAAUACUUUUUAUGUAUACAUACUCCCUGAAGAAUUUAUUACUCUGCUCUUCUCUGAGGUCAGUUAGUGCCCUUCUUACUCUUGUGCCACUGCCACAUUAAGCUGUUGUGCGUUAAGCCUGUUGCCCCUUUAUAAAAUAUCUUGACUGGUAUAUCUGCUCCUUAAAAGAAACAGCUGAAUCCUAGAAUGUGCAUCGGGGCAAGAAAAUUUUAGUAACCCAAAGGUUUGCCAGACACCUUUAGAAGAUGUCCUAGUUUUAGAUAUUCUACAGAUACCUCUCCCCUUUUGUUCUAUAAUUUUUAAGGAUUAGAAGUUCAACUGAUCAUGGUAUCUGGUCUAGGAGAAGUGGAGCCCUCCAGCAUGGCUACCUGGAAAAAUGAAAUUAUUAUAUGGAAUAAAAUAAUGUUACUGUAUUUUUCAGAACACGGGAUUUAUUAUAGAAACGAUUUUCUUUUUAGUUUUUAAAAUUAUAAAAAUACAGUUAUUUUUUUGUUUAUCCCAAAGGAGGGGUGUGUGUGUGUGUGUGUGUGUGUGUGUGUGUGUGUUGUGUGUGUGUGCAUAUAAGUGUUUGUUCUUACAGUUCCCCAAAUACAUUUUAACACAAACUCCUACAUUUCCCCUUUGAUAUUACUAUGCUUAUAGUCCCAAAUAGAAAAGUCGUGUGGUAGGGAGACAGCCAGGAAAAGAGAAGACCUGGUCUGGCCCCAAAUUUACCACGUACUAUUGAUGUGCUUCUGGCUUUUACUUUCCACAUUUUCUAAGCGGAGAUAAUACAGUCCUGAAUUACAAAGUAUGCCUUGUCUGUCUGUCUAGGCUGCUGGGAGAAUGGGAUUGUAGAGAGCCCAGGACAGUGCUUUGCCCACAGAGGCUCUCAGGAGUGGUAUCUGGGAUUAGUUACAUCAUUUACUAUCCUUACAAGCAACACCGGAAGGGGUCAGCAGACCUGGUUAUGGUUAAGACCUUUGCUCCUGGGGAGCCAUUUCACAUCUCAAAGCUGGUUUCCUUACCUCUGAAAUAGAGCACAGCAUCUGCUUGGAUGACUUCAAAUGACUGUUGUGAGGGUUAUAGAAAAUAAUAAUGUGUUAGGUAAGCGUAAACAGUGGUAGUUUUCACACGCUCUGUCUGGUGCUAAGUUCCCACCCCUGAGAGGGAGUCUCAGAGGAGGAGGGGAGUCACCCUGCUCGCAUGUGGGAGGAAUGCUUAAAGACGACUUUUGUUUCAGUAAUGUGAUAAUUAGGGUUCUGGGAGGCUGUGUGGUGCUCUAUUUGCAGGGGGCGGGGUGUGGAACAGGAGAAAGGAUAUGUGGAAAACAGUGUCAGAGAAAUUGAAUCUCAGUGGUGUCUUUCAUUUAACCUUCUCAUUCCUGCUUCUUUAUGUUACUGUUCCCAUAGGAUCCUGAUUAUAGGCUGACGUUUGAACGAGAGUGACAUUACUGAUCAGGGAAAGCUGAGCUUCAUUUAGAUAACAAAAAGUGAUCAAAGCAAUGAGAUGCAAAGAGUUAGAAAUAAGCUUGGCCCAUGGCAGGACAUGUAGGGAUGGUGGCUGAGGAGCUAAGAGAGCUUCUGUUGGAAUUAGAAAUAUGGAGAUGCAGGGAGGGUCCAUGAAAACACCUGAGAAGUUAAAAAUAAGAAGUUGUCCAUGUUCAAUUAGCUUUCUUCUUAAAGAGGUGUGUUUGUAUGUGUGUAAAUUAAGGAAGGAGAAUUUUGGUAGGCUGGACUUAAAAAAAAGGAUUUGUUAGCUUAGAAUAUUCAACUUCAUCUGCCACAUCAGUGAGGAUGGCUUCUGACAUCCCGUGAAAAGUUAAAAUGUGCCUCAAGGAAGAAUUAUAAAACUCUAAAAAAGAUUGUGAUUCAAGGAGCUUCAGAGUCCUAUACAAGUUUAUAUUGUGAUGAGGGUUGGAUGUUGUAUGGAAGUGAUGAAUCACUGAAUUCUACUGAAACUAAUAUACAUUAACUAACUAGAAUUUAAAUAAAAACCUAAAAAGUCGUAUACAAGUUUAUUCACUACUUAUAAAUAUGUCCUUGUCUCUGAUUACCAAUAUGUUUGAUUAAAGAUACUUGUCAUUUAUUCACAUUUAAACACGUGUUGAUGAAGAUUGUAAGCAUAAUGUUGAAAAUUGUAUGCCUGAUGUAAAGUGGGGGGAGAGACAAAUGAUUGAGGAGAAAAGUAGGGUGGAAAAUUACCUUUUGGGAUUUAAGUGACUCAUUAGAAUAAAGGAUAGAAAAGACCUUAAAAGCUAUUUGAAAAAAAUAUGUGUCUCAUUCACUUUUAAAUAUCCAUGUUCUGUUAGUUUCCUCCUUAGUAAAUAGGUGUCUUUCCUUUGCUCUUAGGGAUGAAGAGAAUGAACUGAGAUAUCCAAGUGAUGGCAUUUUUGUUCUUUCAUUUUUCCUUUUAUUGACACUGAUAGAGCAUAUUUUACUGUUUUUCCUGACUAUGGAUUGCCUAAGACUGAACUCGUUUGACUGUCCUUUCCGUCAAAAGAAUUGAGCGAUCCACACUGGUUAGUCUCCAAAUUAUAAAAGAUUCAUCUCAGGAAUCACCCUUGCUAUGACAUCUUCCCAAAUUGGCCUCCUCUGCUCCCAGACCUGAGUAGGGAUUCCUCUCAUUCUUCUUCUCAGGGAUCCCAUACCACUCUGUUGACCCUUCUGUAAGUACCUCUGCAUUUAUUACAACUGAUAUGGUAUUUUCCUCCCCAAAUUUUAUUCUGGAAACUUUCAAACACAGCAAAAUUGCAACACUGGUAUUAUAAAUAUGCAUAUACCAUUCAAGUGGAUUUGCCAAGUAUAUUUAUGUGUUAAUGUACAUUUUUUUUUCCUGAAUCCAGAGGGAAAUAAGUUGCACGUAUCCACUCCUUUUGCUAGUCAGCCCUGACUGAGAUGCUUCUGUCCUUGGAUUAAUUAUACUCAAUAACUUUUUAAGGAUUUAUUUCUUGAUUUGUUCAUUCCCCACAUAUUUAUUAAAUAGCCACUAUGUAACAGACACUGAGGCUGAACCUUGAAGGCUUCAGGGAGUAGAUAGCUUGACUAUAGAAUAUGUAUGUAAUUGAGGAUGGUUAGAUCAUAAGGAGAGGAUAAAAUGUUACCACUGUAAAGGGAGAAAAUAACCCAUAUACCCAGACCUAUGAAAGUACCAUCAUUCGUUGAUUUAUGAUUUGGUCAUUCAGUCACCAACGUUUAGAAUCUGUUCGAUACCAGGUACUUCCAGGGGCUCUGAGACUUCACAGUUGAGGCUUCUUAGCUUUAAAGAUUCAGUCUCACAUACGAGACACAGAAGGUCAUCAGAGCACGUUUUGGAAUAUGUUCAUUGAUGGAGGUCCCCAGGAUACUAUGGAAACAGAGGAGAGAGAAGGCAGGGCAGGCCCCCUGAGUAGUUCCAGUGAUAUUUGGAUAGCAAGCCCAAGGAUGACGGCGUAAACCAGGCAGACAAAAAGAGAUAAAAGCACAUUUGAGAUGAAGCAUUAGUACCUUUCAAGUUAAGCAUUGCAAAAGUAUGGAAUGGCCAAGGAACUGCUAGCAGUUUCGUGUGACUGGAAUGGCAUUUGUUAGCGGGCAGUUACGAAAAAAAGGGAAGGCACAGGGCUGGAAGCUAAGGCCCACAUUGUGAGGGUCUUUGUGAGUUCAACUGAAGAGUUGAAUGUUUACCUAAAAGCUAUGGGAAACCAUUGAAUUGUUCAGGUGGGGUAGUGAUAGCUACUAGAUUUGUGUUUUAGUAAGCCCGGCCUGAAAACAAUAGGGAAAUGGAUAAAUAUUUGUAUUUUUAAGUUGGGGAAGCCAAAUAUUGCUGUAACAGAAGAAUUAACUCAAAGAAUAAAAGUGAUCUAAUGGCAGGGUUGGCUAAUUAUUAUGCAUUUGAUACAUUAACCAAAUUACUGAUACCUCCACCAAUGCCUCUUACCCAAGAACCGACUUUAUUUUCGUUCAGACAUUUUCUCCUAAGAUAACUGACAAGUAAAAUUUUUAAAUGUAGCUCACAAUAAGGAGUUAGUAGUCUCUGCAGCUAAUACUGCUCCCAAGAAGAAGUGAGAGAGACAGAGAAGCAGAAGGAGAAAGAGAGGAGGGGUUGCUCUAAUUAGACACCUGGCUUUGCAGUGUACUGGAUGUGAUUUAAAGCAUUUUAUUUUUUGCUGCAAAACUCUUUCUGUUGAGUAAAUGAGUAGGAAUUAAUCAAUGAAAACAUGACAGUGGUUUUGGAGAUUUUAUAAUUGAUGUAAUGUUUUUGUUUAUUGGGCCAAUUAAGCCUGAUUGACUUGCAGAUUGCAACAGCUCUAACAAAGCACCCACUGCCCACAUUCCAAUUCUCUGUUCCCAGUGCAGUGAGAUCCACUGGCAGGAUUGUGUCAGAGAUGGCAAUGAGAGGGGUCACUGAUGCAGAUGUGUAAAGUCUGUGAUGUAGAUUCAAAAAACUUUCUUAGCCAUAUUACUUUAAAAUAUCACCUUGUGUUUGUCUUCCACUCCUACAGAUAGCAUAGUUCUUACUUUAAGGUUAAUGCCACAAAAGCAUAUGUCAGUUUCUGAAGGGCAUGCUAUUAAAUUGACUUUGAUGUGGAUUAGGGUUGCUCAGCCUCAGCACUAUUGACAUUUUGGACCUCAUAGUUAUUUGUUGUUGGGGGCUGUCCUGUAUAGUAUAGGACGCUCAGCAGCAUCCCUGACCUCUACCCACUAGAUGCCAGGAGCACUUUUUUUCUCAGCCUUUAGUUCUUACAACCAAACUUGUCUCCAGAUGUUGUCAAAUGUCCCCUGGUGAGCAAAAUUACCCCUUCCUCAGAACUAUGGGUUAGACUUUUACGGGUUAAAAUCAAACAAAAAUAGUAGUUCAGUUAACCUUUCCAUGAGCUAAUUGCAUGUAUUCAUUCCUCAAAAAAAAAAAUCUAUGUAUUUAUAUAGAUAUAGAAAAGAUGUAGAUAAUGUUUCUGGUACUUUGCUGAAUGCUCGGAUUUACAAACUAUUUUACAGAAGGAACAGGUAUGAAAUACCUGUGGAAUUGUCUAAAUAUUUGUGAAGUUUUCAUAUUUUUGGUGGAAAGGAAACUGCAUCACAGAAAUGUAUAUCGAAUAAAGUAGGUAAAGUUCCAUGAAAAAUUCCAAUUUUUGCAUAUUAAUAGCAGAAUUAGGACUAACUUUGUAAGAACAUGAUAAAAGAUAGUCCUUUUCAGCCGUGUUUCUAAUAGUGGAACUAUGCAUUUGAUUUAGAAUUUCAUUUGCAUCUAAAAAUUUAAUGUCUUUUUUACUUCUGAUAUGUUAUUACUAGCAUCUGAAGGUAGCAUUGAGAGCUACAGAUUUAAAUAGUAACUGUAACUUAUACAUACCUUACACACCAAAGAGCCCAAUCUUUAUUCAAAAAUGUUAACAACUCAAUUGUUAAUUUUAUAGAUUGAGGCACAAGAUACCAGGAUAAAGGGUGUUGCAGUAAGGAAUUAGUUGGGAUAUAAUAGUAUCAUUAAGUUAAAUAGAAGUGUUAGAACUCUUCCAGCUAAAUUCAUAGAUCAAUAAGUUUCAAAGAGGAGUAGGAUAACGGUGGUAGAUAAAGGAAUAAGCCCAAUGAAAUUAAUUUCUGUCUUAGCCCAGUAUUAAACUAGCAUUUUUUUUUCAAUAAGGUUUUACCAAACGUUGACUAUACGUCAGACAUUGUGGUGACCGGCCAUGUGCUUCCACUUACGCGAUUUUAUUUGUUCUGUAAACAGCCCACUGAGGCAGGUAUUGAUAGUUCAGCUUUCCAGAACACUAAACGUUACAUGCUUAAGUACAUGUCAUGUAAUUGGUUAAUUUCAGCACCAGAGAUUGGGCCUAAAUGUUACCAUCCUUUCUUCACUGUAUCUAUUCACCAAGCCACCUGCAAGGUAGCUGGUAGUUUGUAAUGCAGAACACAUACGUCAAGUCUUGCCCUUUUGUGGAUAAUAGUCCUCAGCAGAUCACUCUCACACUUCAUUCUUUUUCAUGCUUUUUUUCUCCCAUAAUCGAGAAUGAGAUCCAUCAUUCACGCAGCUGAUAGCCCCAGGGAACAUAACCUGUGUUGAUACAGUAGCCAUGUUCCAUCAAAAUCGUUCUGUAAAGAAAAUAUCUGUCAGGUGAAUUUUUUGCUCCCACAGUACAUUAUAAAUUCAAGAUGCCCCUAUUCUUCACACAGAACUUCUGGAAUAGAGUUGCUUCUUUCUGUGGUUUGAUCAAAGUUAUGUAAUUGAUAGAGACAAUAAUACCAUCCUUGUUUAGUAGUGCCUGCAUCUUUUAUAUUUAAAAUGCCUUAAGACAAGAGACAUCUGUGUACAAUGUAACUAUAGUGUGACUUACAAUAACUUUGUGUUUUUGUUAUCUCAGCAAGAGAUCACUUGCCGGGGGACAAUGCAUUCUUUGUGAUUUCUAGUAAAACACUGUUUUUACAUGUCCAGCAUAUGUACAGCAUGGCGGAGGUCAGGAAGGAUAAAUUCAUUACAUGCCAGCCAUCCCUCCAGAAAUCCACCUCGCGUCAGAGUUGAUGUGGAAGCUGAAACCCGUCUGACAUCCCAGAUGAUGUAGUAAUCAGAUAAGUCCCCUGAACUGUAAAACGGAAGCUUUAACUGCAGUAUAUAUUUAUGGCCUAAAUUGACCACUUAGCGACCAGAUUUAAUUUGAAAGUAAAAAUCUAAAUAUCUUAAACAUUUUAUUUGGAACAUAUUUAUAACUUCAGACUCUUUUCCAAACCCGAUCCUGCCAACAUGAUUUAGCUUCUCAUAAAAUAUUUUAAAGUAUUCAGGUUUUGACGGAAACCUCCAACCUGGAAAAAAAAAAAAAAAGAAGUCAGGCCUCGUGAGAGAUUGCAGACGAGUAGACAGUAGACCUGUUAUUACAAAGGUGCAAUGAAUCCAAUUUGUUAUUUUUUGACUUGUCCUGCCUUUGGCUAGGCGUAACCACUUUUGAGGUUUAAAGAAAGGUCCAGGAUAGGACCUUGGUUACAAAUGUACUAGAAGCUCCUCGGGAGUGGACUGCUUUGCCUGAAUGCUGCAGUGUUUUCUGUCACACUGAGGUUAGCCUUUUAUAACUGGUGAUUCUUUUGGGAAGUUCUUCAGAGGAUAGCAGUCACUUACCGUAUGCACCGCCACACAUAGGAUGGUGGCAGGUGGCUUAGGUAGCAAGCACUUAAGUAUGUUCGAAAUUUGGAAUACCUGGGUGUCAUAUCACCAGUGAUCUUAAAACCUAUCAAAUAUGUGUUGAAAUAAAUUUUCUAAAGAGUAAUCCCAAAAGUGUGUUGUUUAGCAGGGUGUAAGUUUUGAAAUGGAAAUGUAUAUGUAGCCUAAAUAAUUUUCUGUUACUUUUUAUAGUUCUGAAGUCUCUUUUGUUACUUGAUUAGCUAAGCGAAAGUAGCACAUGACUUAACUCUUCAGGUCCCAGCAAACAAAGAGAUAAAAUGGUUGAAUGUUCGCGGUUCCCACCUUGCUUCACUACGAGGCAAGAUAGCUCGCACAUUAAUAUUGUCAUCUUUUGUUCUCUGUGUGAAGUCGUAAAGCCUUUUUCAAAUUUUGAGAUCUCAAAUCGGAUGGAUGUAACUGAACCUUUCAGCUCAGUUUAUCUUCCCUAAUAUGGAGAUUGCCAAAAAGAUGUAUUAGAGUUUAUGUUGGCGAUGUUAGGUAAUUUUUUUCUUUUAAAUACAGCUUCUGAAAAUAAAAUUAAGAAGCUUUUGCUUAAUUUUACUUUGUCUUAAUAGCAGUUUCUUAACAAUUGAUAUAGCCUUGAGUUUGGUGUAACAGGGCAACAGGACUAAAUUAUUUUAAUUAUGCAAUUCUGUUAAACACCUUUUACAAGGCUGAAAGUCUAUGUGUUUUAUUUUUCCCCCUGAAAGUUCCAAGAUAGUUUCAAGGGACUUUCUCUCUUCAGAGAUAUUCUGUCAGCUUAAGAGAUACCUCUCUUAUAUAUACACAUACACAUAUAAAUCUUUGUGUAUGUGUGUAUAUAUAUAGUAGUGGGUAGGGAGAGGGAAGAUAAAUUUUUAGACUCGGAGAUAUAAAGGAAUCUUUCAAAAGCUCAAACAAGGCAGCCUGUGUCAAGACCGACAUGUCGAGGAAUGCUAAGUUUGCUAUAACCUAGGAGGACAGCAAGAAUGACCUUCCAUGAGCCUUCAUUCUUGAUCUACAAAAUUAGGUGGUUGGCCAAACACUGUUUCUAAACUCUCUUCCAUCUCAGGUGCCUGGGUGGCUCAGAAGGUUAAGCGUUGGUUCUUGGUUUCAGCUCAGGUCAUGAUUUCACAGUUUGUGAGUUCGAGCCCAGCAUCGGGGUUCUGCACUGACAGUUGUGGAGCCUGCUUGGGAUUCUCCCUCUCUCUGCCCUCCCCUGCUCAUGCUCGCUCUCUCUCUC